GAUGAACGCUAGCUACAGGCUUAACACAUGCAAGUCGAGGGGAAACGAUAUUGGAAGCUUGCUUCCGAUAGGCGUCGACCGGCGCACGGGUGAGUAACGCGUAUCCAACCUGCCCACCACUUGGAGAUAACCUUGCGAAAGUAAGACUAAUACCCAAUGAUAUCUCUAGAAGACAUCUGAAGGAGAUUAAAGAUUCAUCGGUGAUGGAUGGGGAUGCGUCUGAUUAGCUUGUUGGCGGGGUAACGGCCCACCAAGGCGACGAUCAGUAGGGGUUCUGAGAGGAAGGUCCCCCACAUUGGAACUGAGAAACGGUCCAAACUCCUACGGGAGGCAGCAGUGAGGAAUAUUGGUCAAUGGGCAAGAGCCUGAACCAGCCAAGUAGCGUGCAGGAUGACGGCCCUAUGGGUUGUAAACUGCUUUUAUAAGGGAAUAAAGUGAGUCUCGUGAGACUUUUUGCAUGUACCUUAUGAAUAAGGACCGGCUAAUUCCGUGCCAGCCGCCGCCGUAA
Molecule: ribosomal RNA, 508 nt
Filed under: uncultured bacterium
Lineage: Bacteria
Description: partial 16S ribosomal RNA
Rfam family: Bacterial small subunit ribosomal RNA
Source: RNAcentral